AUUGAACGCUGGCGGCAUGCUUUACACAUGCAAGUCGAACGGCAGCGCGGGGGCAACCCGUGGCGGCGAGUGGCGAACGGGUGAGUAAUGUAUCGGAACGUAUCCUGUAAUGGGGGAUAACCAGUCGAAAGAUUGGGUAAUACCGCAUACGCACGAGAGUGGAAAGUAGGGGAUCGCAAGACCUUACGUUAUAGGAGCGGCCGAUAUCUGAUUAGCUAGUUGGUGGGGUAAAGGCCCACCAAGGCGAUGAUGGGUAGCCGGCCUGAGAGGGUGUACGGCCACACUGGGACUGAGAUACGGCCCAGACUCCUACGGGAGGCAGCAGCUAAGAAUAUUCCGCAAUGGACGAAAGUCUGACGGAGCGACGCCGCGUGGAUGAAGAAGGCCGAAAGGUUGUAAAGUUCUUUUGCUAGGGGAGAAUAAGUGAGGGAGGGAAUGCCCUCAUGAUGACAAGGACUAGCGAAUAAGCCCCGGCCAACUACGUG
This 485-nucleotide ribosomal RNA is filed under the name uncultured bacterium. RNAcentral's name for it is "bacterial SSU rRNA". It matches the Rfam family "Bacterial small subunit ribosomal RNA", at positions 29 to 507 of the family's 1533-position model. The record is from RNAcentral.